Molecule: long non-coding RNA, 924 nt
Organism: Populus nigra (black poplar)
Lineage: Eukaryota; Viridiplantae; Streptophyta; Magnoliopsida; Malpighiales; Salicaceae
Exons: 2
Source: RefSeq, a predicted model, not a curated record
CAAAAACCCACUUCUUCAAAUCCCAAAAAUCAAAUGAAGAACUCACUUCAUGCUCCAAAACUUUGCCAAAAGUUGCAAUCUUUAACACUCAAAACAAAAUACCCCACUUCAAAAACUCCUCAAGAAAAACUGCAAGUCAGUACGAUUGAUGGUCUUUGUAAGGAUGACUUAUUGGAGAAGCAAAAGAGCUUUUUCCGCAAAUGAAGGGUAGAGGGAUUUGUCCUGAUGUGUUCGUGUAUAGCUCUCUGAUGCAUUAUUUGUGUUCUAUGGAUGAGCGGGAGGAUAAAGGUUUGUUUGUUGAGAUUAUGGAUUAAGGUGUGUGGCCUAAUGUGGUGACAUUCAAUGUGCUGGCAGAUAUGCUUUGCAAGCCCAUGAAGAUGAAAGAAGUACGUGAAUUGUUUGAACUUAUGGUUCAGAGAGGUAUAGAACCUGAUGAUUGUGCUUAUUCCAUCUACUUUUUGGCUGGCAUGAUUGAUGAUGGGAGGGACUCUUUGUUUCUGUUGUAAAUAAGGGGCGUAAACGUAAUGUUGUUAGCUAUAAUUCUUUGAUAAAUGGGUACUGCAAAAAUCGGAAGGUAGAUGAAGCUAUGCGCCUUUAAAGGGAAAUGCGUGAUGAAGGGAUUAGACCAAUAAUUAUCAAAUACAGUACUUUGCAGGUAAGGUUUGAAAUGCUCUGAAGCUGCGACUUCAUGACCUGGUACCUAAUGUGACGACAUAUAAUGUUUAUCUGGAUGGGCUUUGCAAGAACAAUUGUUUUUCAGAGGCAGUGGGCCUGUUUCAUAGUUUAGAGAAUUGUAAGUUUGAAUCGAGCAUUGAAAUCCUUAACUGCCUUAUUAAUUGCUUAUGCAAAAUAGGGAAGCUUGCAACUGCUUGGGACCUAUUUUACAGAAUGCCUAAUAAAGGUUUAAAGCCUGCUGUUGUAACA